AAGAAAAACCAGGCUGCUGCACAGAGGGUUUGCUGCUGCCUUUUUAAUUCUCUGCUUCUCUAUUCUCUACUGUAUUUCUGAUUUUUUCUGCAUUUUUAGUGCUGGCAGCUGCAAAAUAUUUAGAGAAUGGGCCAAGACCAACAUAAAACAUUUGGGCCAAAAUGCAAUACAUUUGGACUUAAAUUAUAAAGAGUCCAAAUUAAAAUAUAGGAGCCCAAAAAGAAUGGGCCAAGACCAACAUAAAACAUUUGGGCCAAAAUGCAAUACAUUUGGACUUAAAUUAUAAAGAGUCCGAAUUAAAAUAUAGGAGCCCAAAAUAAUUGGGCUCUUCCUCCAUGUAGGAGGGAAAAUUCCCAACAAAUC
This 363-nucleotide long non-coding RNA is filed under the name Nicotiana benthamiana. Its description in RNAcentral is "long non-coding RNA (NBEN_LNC036492)". Lineage: Eukaryota; Viridiplantae; Streptophyta; Magnoliopsida; Solanales; Solanaceae. The record is from RNAcentral.